RNAcentral lists this non-coding RNA (132 nucleotides) under Gloeochaete wittrockiana. Lineage: Eukaryota; Glaucocystophyceae; Gloeochaetales; Gloeochaetaceae. The record is from RNAcentral.
CCUUUGCCCCUUCCCCUUCCAACAGCAACGACUGCCACGCCAACCUCAACAUCAACUGGGUCUCGCCCAAGUCGCAGCCACACGUCUACCAGCAGACCGAGACGUCGCACCACACGACCACGACGCAAAAGA